CAGUCGCCACGGUAACACGAAGGUCCCGAGCGUUGUUCGGAAUCACUGGGCGUAAAGGGAGCGUAGGCGGCGUGGUAAGUCAGAUGUGAAAUCCCGGGGCUCAACCCCGGAACUGCAUCCGAUACUGCCGUGCUAGAGGAUUGGAGAGGUAGCUGGAAUUCUUGGUGUAGCAGUGAAAUGCGUGGAGAUCAAGAGGAACACUCGUGGCGAAAGCGAGCUACUGGACAAUAUCUGACGCUGAGGCUCGAAGGCCAGGGUAGCGAAAGGGAUUAGAUACCCGCGUAGUCCCUGUCUCUUAUAC
RNAcentral lists this ribosomal RNA (301 nucleotides) under uncultured bacterium. RNAcentral's name for it is "partial 16S ribosomal RNA". It matches the Rfam family "Bacterial small subunit ribosomal RNA", at positions 509 to 807 of the family's 1533-position model. The record is from RNAcentral.